GAAAUGCGAUAAGUAAUGUGAAUUGCAGAAUUCAGUGAAUCAUCGAAUCCUUGAACGCACCUUGCGCUCCUUGGUAUUCCUUGGAGCAUGCCUAUUUGAGUAUCAUGAAAUCUUCAAAGUAAAUCUUUUGUUAACUCAAUUGGUUUCUACUUUGGUAUUGGAGGUCUUUGCAGCUUCACACCUGCUCCUCUUUGUUCAUUAGCUGGAUCUCAGUGUUAUGCUUGGUUCCACUCGGCGUGAUAAGUUAUCUAUCGCUGAGGACACUGUAAAAGGUGGCCAAGGUAAAUGCAGAUGAACCGCUUCUAAUAGUCCAUUGACUUGGACAAUACUUUUAUGAUCUGAUCUCAAAUCAGGUAGGACUACCCGCUGAACUUAAGC
This 378-nucleotide unclassified non-coding RNA is filed under the name plant metagenome. RNAcentral's name for it is "partial contains 5.8S ribosomal RNA, internal transcribed spacer 2, and large subunit ribosomal RNA". The stretch from base 1 to 105 matches the Rfam family "5.8S ribosomal RNA", at positions 50 to 154 of the family's 154-position model. The record is from RNAcentral.